Molecule: long non-coding RNA, 2564 nt
Organism: Belonocnema kinseyi
Lineage: Eukaryota; Metazoa; Arthropoda; Insecta; Hymenoptera; Cynipidae
Exons: 3
Source: RefSeq, a predicted model, not a curated record
ACCUGGGCGGAGGAAUAUUCCUUGAACAACAGAAAUUGAAAUGCAUCAACAACAUCGCUAGUUACGGGCAAUUUAUAAUCGCCCUCGCCAUAUCAAUCUGGGGCAAUGGACUGAAACACAUGUGCAUCGACGUAAAGAAAGCAAAACCUCGUGAAGAAGGGCAAAAGAAAAGGAAAUUUGGAAACAAGAAGCUAAAAGCCAUGGAAGAGCUGUUCUUGGAAAAACGGAGAAGCCAAGGAUUUAAAGGUAACAGAAGACUAGCCGAACUAGCCAAGAAAGUUAGAACAACCUUAUCGCAUAAAGUUAACGAUUUGAAUAAAUAGAAGCGACGCAAAGAAGAAAGUGAUGACGAGAAUGAAGGUGAGUGAUGAUGAGUGUUCUCCCAGGAUGCGUCGCACGUAUGAAGCUUCAUAAACGCAUCGCCGCGCCGCCGUGCACGCCGGAAGCGUAAAUGCUUCGUGCGUAGCUGGUUCUUUUCGCUUCAUAACAGAUUUUUCUUAUGUUUCCUUUUUUUUAAGGCUGAGACUGUGCCUUUAACUUUGGUUUUAUUUUACUGAUUUUAGGUUUAAUUUCUGUUCUUUUUUGUAAUCAACAUUAACCUAAAUUUCGUAAUUAGGAUCUGUGCAGAAAUGACUUCUCCGAUGUUGCCUGCAUUUUUAAGUCAAAAGUGGCAUUUGUAAUAUAUUUGCAGAGAAAGGAUUUAAAAUUUUCCAAGUGCGUAGAGUUAUGCACAUUUGAAGGUGUGAAGGGGUUUGAAGUAUUUUAAAGGAAUAUAAGAGACUUAAAAUUAAAGGAUUGAAGCGAAUUAGUUUCUAAUACUUUUUUUUAAUAUAUGGGGUGUUCCAGAACUAAGUGUUUGGACUUUAUGACUGUAUAUACGAAAAACAAUAAACCGAAGCUUUCUUUGGAAAAAAUGUUUAGAAGUUUUAGUUUUUGAGUUACCAUAUGAAAUGACUAAUCCGGAUCAAUCAAGAGCGCCGUGUACGUGCUUGAGAGGGAGGCUGACGCUGUAUUAGUGACAGAUUCCAAGGGAUGGAAAGGCAGUGGUCACUGUUACAAAGCAUGACCACUAACAUGGCGCUCCUUAUUGGUCCAGAUUAAUCAUUUCAUAAAUCAAAAACUAAAACUGCAAUACAUUUUUUCGAAACGAAGUUUCGUUAGCUUUUUUUUCUAAUUAUAUACCCAUAUAAGUUCGGACACUAAGUUCUGGGGCACCCUGUAUGUACGCUUUUAUACAUAAAAUAUUUUCUAAAAAAGUUCCUGUGAACUUUUGUUUCAGAAUAAAAGUGGGCCUUCUAUACAAGUUUUUGGUAUAAAAAUAAGAAGCUGAAAAAAUAUCAAAUUUACAAUUUUCCAAAAUAGGCCUAAAUUGAUUUUUUUUUCCUUGGCUCAAAAUAUGUGGGCAACAUCAAAUAACUGAAUCCUUUAAAAAGUGUUUUUUAGUAAGAAUUGUCAAUAAACUUAAGGAGCAAAAAUCCCUAUUUGUGCUACAAGAACCUCCAUAAAAGACCCAAUUAUCGUUUGAUACAAAAAUUUAUAGGAACUUUCUUACUGCAUACUUUAGGUAUAACAAAGGAUACAUAAUUCAAUUACUUAAAAAAAAUUGUCAACAAAUACAAUAAAAGAAUCAUUUUCAUUCGUAGAAAAAGAGCACGAUUGAUUCUUUUCAUUUCUCACUUGAAAUAGAGGGGCUGUUCAGACACGUUAAUCCUGCAAAGAACCAGUGUUAAGUAAGAAGUUGAAGUUGGUUGAAGCUCAACGUGGUAUGCCAAUGUAUCCUCAAAUUUUGUGUUUUUCAUUUUUUUUAUACUAACUUACUUUUUUCUUAUUUAGUUUCCCAAAUUUCCAACUCAAUAGUGCGUUUUAUGUUAACAUAAGUUGGUAAGAAAAAAUUUAACAAAAAAUUCGCCCCACUUUAGUGUCUAUUAAUACAGAUACAUGUAUAUUUAUAUUACAAUAUUUAGCGUUAUAUGUAUAAGAACAAAUAAUUUAUUAUUCGCUUAAGGGUAUCUUAAUGAUAACUUGAAGAGUACAAAAGAAAAAAUGUUUAGGACUGCGUCUACAAAUUCUAGCACCAAUAUAAGUAUUGGUAAGUAUAUUAUACGAAUAAGAAUUAUACUUGCAAGUUCCUUAAUGCCAUUUCAUACUAAACUUGAAAUAAUAAUAAUGAAUUUUUCUUCAAACUUCUGUCUACAAUAAAUGUUGUGCCACAUGUUCCUAAUUACAAGAACAAUGUCCAAAAAUGUAUUCCGUUCUGCUUGUAAAGUAUCUUACGCCAUAUAAAACUUUAUUUACUCUACCAAAUUUUUAAAUUGAUAUCUCAUUUCUCAUUGGGCAAAAAGAAAUGUCUAAAAUUAUUGUGAUGUUGGUAUGACAUGGCCUUAACGGAUUAUUCCAAAUCGUGCAUUUGUGAUAUAAAACGUUUGAGUAGUUCCUAUAAUCAUGUGGGCUUAGUAAUAAAAAUAUAUGUAUAUUGCUUGACCAAAACUUAUCAGUAUCAGUGUUAUCUCAGUAUUAUUAUCAGUUUUCAACUGGCUAUUAUAAGGAUGUUUAUUUUUAUGUAU